This 81-nucleotide transfer RNA is filed under the name Bacilli bacterium. RNAcentral's name for it is "tRNA-Thr". It matches the Rfam family "tRNA". Rfam says of the family: Transfer RNA (tRNA) molecules are approximately 80 nucleotides in length. Their secondary structure includes four short double-helical elements and three loops (D, anti-codon, and T loops). Lineage: Bacteria; Bacillati; Bacillota; Bacilli. The record is from RNAcentral.
GCCUCAUUCGCAUAGUGGACGAUUGCACAGGUUUUGUAACCCUGACCGAAAGGCGCGUUGGUUCGAAUCCAACAUGAGGCU